Molecule: long non-coding RNA, 242 nt
Filed under: Mustela putorius furo (domestic ferret)
Lineage: Eukaryota; Metazoa; Chordata; Mammalia; Carnivora; Mustelidae
Description: lncRNA (ENSMPUG00000024367.1)
Source: RNAcentral
GAACAAACAAACAAAACUUAGGACAAAGAGAACAGGAGAGAAGACAGAUAAGAGAGUUCAAGGUGUUUGGGGAAGGCAGAGGAGUGACAACCAAUCAAGCAGGACAGUAGCAGCUGAAGAAAUUGCAAAGGGGGCUAUUGCUAGCUAAAGGAUCUUGCCUUCAGACGAUGGGACUAGGGAGCUCCAAAAGAAGAACAGCCAGGAAAUAAAUGAAAAGUUCUUAGAAAUUAAACUGAUUAAGG